CGGGGGGCUGCAGUGGGGAAUAUUGCACAAUGGGCGCAAGCCUGAUGCAGCCAUGCCGCGUGUGUGAAGAAGGCCUUCGGGUUGUAAAGCACUUUCAGUAAGGAGGAAAGGUUAUACUUUAAUAGAGUAUAGCUGUGACGUUACUUACAGAAGAAGCACCGGCUAACUCCGUGCCAGCAGCCGCGGUAAUACGGAGGGUGCGAGCGUUAAUCGGAAUUACUGGGCGUAAAGCGUACGCAGGCGGUUUGUUAAGCGAGAUGUGAAAGCCCUGGGCUCAACCUGGGAACUGCAUUUCGAACUGGCAAACUAGAGUGUGAUAGAGGGUGGUAGAAUUUCAGGUGUAGCGGUGAAAUGCGUAGAGAUCUGAAGGAAUACCGAUGGCGAAGGCAGCCACCUGGGUCAACACUGACGCUCAUGUACGAAAGCGUGGGGAGCAAACAGGAUUAGAUACCCCGGUAGUC
Molecule: ribosomal RNA, 461 nt
Filed under: uncultured Pseudoalteromonas sp.
Lineage: Bacteria; Pseudomonadati; Pseudomonadota; Gammaproteobacteria; Alteromonadales; Pseudoalteromonadaceae
Description: bacterial SSU rRNA
Rfam family: Bacterial small subunit ribosomal RNA
Source: RNAcentral